UGAGGUGUAGCUCAGCAGUAGAGUGCUUGCCUAGCAUACAUGAGGGCUUGACUUUAAACCUCAGUACUUCAA
This 72-nucleotide transfer RNA is filed under the name Heterocephalus glaber (naked mole-rat). It matches the Rfam family "tRNA". Rfam says of the family: Transfer RNA (tRNA) molecules are approximately 80 nucleotides in length. Lineage: Eukaryota; Metazoa; Chordata; Mammalia; Rodentia; Bathyergidae. The record is from Rfam by way of RNAcentral.